This 1005-nucleotide ribosomal RNA is filed under the name Metarhizium ellipsoideum. Its description in RNAcentral is "SSU rRNA". It matches the Rfam family "Eukaryotic small subunit ribosomal RNA", at positions 89 to 1105 of the family's 1831-position model. The record is from RNAcentral. Lineage: Eukaryota; Fungi; Ascomycota; Sordariomycetes; Hypocreales; Clavicipitaceae.
GCGAAUGGCUCAUUAUAUAAGUUAUCGUUUAUUUGAUAGUACCUUACUACUUGGAUAACCGUGGUAAUUCUAGAGCUAAUACAUGCUAAAAAUCCCGACUUCGGAAGGGAUGUAUUUAUUAGAUUAAAAACCAAUGCCCUCUGGGCUCUCUGGUGAUUCAUGAUAACUUCUCGAAUCGCACGGCCUUGCGCCGGCGAUGGUUCAUUCAAAUUUCUUCCCUAUCAACUUUCGAUGUUUGGGUAGUGGCCAAACAUGGUUGCAACGGGUAACGGAGGGUUAGGGCUCGACCCCGGAGAAGGAGCCUGAGAAACGGCUACUACAUCCAAGGAAGGCAGCAGGCGCGCAAAUUACCCAAUCCCGAUUCGGGGAGGUAGUGACAAUAAAUACUGAUACAGGGCUCUUUUGGGUCUUGUAAUUGGAAUGAGUACAAUUUAAAUCCCUUAACGAGGAACAAUUGGAGGGCAAGUCUGGUGCCAGCAGCCGCGGUAAUUCCAGCUCCAAUAGCGUAUAUUAAAGUUGUUGUGGUUAAAAAGCUCGUAGUUGAACCUUGGGCCUGGCUGGCCGGUCCGCCUCACCGCGUGUACUGGUCCGGCCGGGCCUUUCCCUCUGUGGAACCCCAUGCCCUUCACUGGGUGUGGCGGGGAAACAGGACUUUUACUUUGAAAAAAUUAGAGUGCUCCAGGCAGGCCUAUGCUCGAAUACAUUAGCAUGGAAUAAUGAAAUAGGACGUGCGGUUCUAUUUUGUUGGUUUCUAGGACCGCCGUAAUGAUUAAUAGGGACAGUCGGGGGCAUCAGUAUUCAAUUGUCAGAGGUGAAAUUCUUGGAUUUAUUGAAGACUAACUACUGCGAAAGCAUUUGCCAAGGAUGUUUUCAUUAAUCAGGAACGAAAGUUAGGGGAUCGAAGACGAUCAGAUACCGUCGUAGUCUUAACCAUAAACUAUGCCGACUAGGGAUCGGACGAUGUUAUUUUUUGACUCGUUCGGCACCUUACGAGAAAUCAAAGUG